UACGUAGGGUGCGAGCGUUGUCCGGAAUUAUUGGGCGUAAAGAGCUCGUAGGCGGUUUGUUGCGUCGGCUGUGAAAACCUGCGGCUUAACUGUGGGCUUGCAGUCGAUACGGGCAGACUUGAGUUCGGCAGGGGAGACUGGAAUUCCUGGUGUAGCGGUGAAAUGCGCAGAUAUCAGGAGGAACACCGGUGGCGAAGGCGGGUCUCUGGGCCGAUACUGACGCUGAGGAGCGAAAGCGUGGGGAGCAAACAGG
Molecule: ribosomal RNA, 253 nt
Filed under: uncultured bacterium
Lineage: Bacteria
Description: partial 16S ribosomal RNA
Rfam family: Bacterial small subunit ribosomal RNA
Source: RNAcentral